RNAcentral lists this small RNA (1439 nucleotides) under Arabidopsis thaliana (thale cress). Its description in RNAcentral is "ATSL167910". Lineage: Eukaryota; Viridiplantae; Streptophyta; Magnoliopsida; Brassicales; Brassicaceae. The record is from RNAcentral.
UAUACCAUUUGUCAUCACUUGUCAUCACUUUACAUGUUUAGGAUAGGUUUGCAUGCAUGUUGCAUAUUUGUGUUGAUUUCAGGUGAUUUGGAGCUGUUAACGAGCUAACUGGAAGAGUGGACCUGAUCAUGUCAAACCACUCGACCCGAAGGUCGAGUAGAAGUUUCAUGACGUCAACAGACCACUCGACCCCCUGGUCACCUGACCAUCACUCGAUCACAUCACUCGACCCCGAGGUCGAGUGUCUUCACCUCCAUUACCAGAUCACCACUCGACCACACCACUCUACCUGGAAGUCGAGUAUCACCAUCACCACCACUUGACUACAUACAUUGCGAGCUUCAGAGUCUUCUUCAUUCCGCACUCAACCAGACACUCGAGCACAAGGAAGAAAAGAAGACUCCAGCAUAUCACUCGACCACCUGGGUCGAGAACAAUUCUUAAUCCGACCUAGUACUACGACGUUUUGAGUAUUAGGGUUUCAGAAUAUUUUGCUAUAAGUAGCAUGUACCUUACAUUUUCGAAGUAAGUUUUUAUCUAGUUUUAUUCCGCAGACACUAUGUUCUAGACCUUUUGUAAUCCGGAUUUCUCUUUAUCUAUUCAGUAUUCAGUAUUUGUUCUUGAUUUUUGUUUACUGUUGUUCAUCCUGUUAUCUUCUUUUUAUUACUCUGCUGUUAUCAUGUUUUCAUUCCAUUCAACGUUUAUGUUUUCUGUAAUGAUGUCUGAGUAGUGAAUAGAUUUCUGAGGAUGGGUUAGAGUAGUGUAGAAUUCUCAGUAUGCUAGGUGGUUGAGUUUGAUUUAUAGAUCCCUUCUGGAUUAGUUGUUCUUAAUGCCUAUUGCUUUCUGAGAAUUUGAUCAACUGGAAUUUGAGUCCAGACAUUUCCGCGCCCAAAAGGUAUUCGAUGAAAUGUCUGAACCACUAAUUCUAGAGAUUUGUGGCCCUGUACAAAGGUAUUGGUUGCAGGGAGCGUUUUGGCUUUAACUUGUUUAUUCGUAAUGCCUGUUAGGUUAGCUCUCGUUAAUGGUGAUUGAGUCUGGGACUAGGUUAACUUGAGGGUCUCUGUUGUGAUGGCACUUAGAUUUGGUUAAGGAACUUGUUGUCUAGGGAUAAUUUAUUGAGCAUGUCAAUCACCUGUAAACUGAGGAAACGAGACUACUCAAUUACCCCAUCCUCGGGAAUUCUUUAUCUGAUUAAAUUCUUUGUUUACUCUACUGUUGUUUACAGCAUCUUGUCAUCUGAUGCUUAAUUUCUACAAUUCUUUCUUCUUACAGCAUCUUCUUACUUGGCUUUACUUGGUGACUUCUGAUCACAUCUUGAUUGUUAGCAUCACACCCAUUUGGAUUGACAACCUUCAAUACUACAACGACAUGAUACUGCUUUAGGAUUAAUUGAUCUUAAAAACCUAUUAUCACUUGUAUCGAUCGACACUGAUGUGCGU